AGCAGAUGAAUUGUUCUGAGUUUGGACAGUGGUUUAAGCUUAUUUUGGUAUAUUUUUACAAUAACACAAUCUGCUAAGAUUUUAGUGAAUUUGAGCAAUUUUACGCGCUUGAGGUAGUGUUUCAUGUGUUUAUAGGGCUAAUGAGUAAAGAGGAGUUGGAUCAGAGAAGAAACCGGACGACAAUGCAUGAGCAUGAGAAAAAAGAAGAGAAAAAUACACAUUUCCUGCCCAUACGCGUUUGAGGCCUCUCAUACGCGUAUGGCCACUCAUCAGCACCUCCCAACAUACAUGUAAC
RNAcentral lists this long non-coding RNA (295 nucleotides) under Lathyrus oleraceus (garden pea). RNAcentral describes it as "Pisum sativum (pea) long non-coding RNA (PSAT_LNC025004)". The record is from RNAcentral. Lineage: Eukaryota; Viridiplantae; Streptophyta; Magnoliopsida; Fabales; Fabaceae.